RNAcentral lists this ribosomal RNA (253 nucleotides) under uncultured bacterium. RNAcentral describes it as "partial 16S ribosomal RNA". It matches the Rfam family "Bacterial small subunit ribosomal RNA", at positions 524 to 776 of the family's 1533-position model. The record is from RNAcentral.
UACGUAGGGGGCAAGCGUUAUCCGGAUUUACUGGGUGUAAAGGGAGCGUAGACGGUGAUGCAAGUCAGAAGUGAAAGCCCGCGGCUCAACUGCGGGACUGCUUUUGAAACUGUAUGACUAGAGUGCAGGAGAGGUAAGCGGAAUUCCUAGUGUAGCUGUGAAAUGCGUAGAUAUUAGGAGGAACACCAGUGGCGAAGGCGGCUUACUGGACUGUAACUGACGUUGAGGCUCGAAAGCGUGGGGAGCAAACAGG